This is a non-coding RNA of Pelobates cultripes (western spadefoot toad), 802 nucleotides long. NCBI's taxonomy places the organism in Eukaryota, Metazoa, Chordata, Amphibia, Anura, Pelobatidae. The record is from the annotation of a GenBank genome assembly.
ACCCUGGAAAUACACACCUUUAGAAAAAUACUACGGUUUUAUUUGCUUGGUUUUUAAACCUAUGUAUGGACUUCUAAUUGAUAUUGUACAUGGAUUUAGGAUGUCCCAUGGCUGUUUUGGUGUAUCUGUCAUUUUUCUGCUGAGAUUGCUACACAAAUCUGGUCCACUUCUGCGGUCCAUGGUCCACAUUGUUUUAGUAUAUAAUACAGAAAUAGGGAUGGAAUUUCAUUCAUAGACCCCUAAACCCUAGUACUACAUGUACACCUACCCUCGAUAAAUGAACAGGUGGCAUUAAGGAUAGAGUGGAUGACACAAUGGGCUGGACAGAAUGGGCAAUGGCAAUGGCUAUGGGUGCAGCAAAGAUUGAGCAGGGCCACGUAUAUUCUAUGUCCAACUAAAAGCAAUGAUGCUCUAUGCAACUGCCUAGGGGUGAGGGUCCACGUGGCUGUAGCCCAUUUUCUAACAACUGCAUAGAGUGGAGUUGUGAAGGAUUCCAUCCUAUCAUUACAUUCCCAAUGCUCCAGUAUCCGCAUUAAAAAGACAACAGUAAUAAUGUAUCAUCCCUCGCAGUGAUCGUCGGUGGUAACUUUAAAUAUCAACAGAUUUACUGGUGUCUCAGAACCCAAUGGUGCAUCUCUGACUGUUUGCAGGUGAAGGAAACAAACUUGGAUUGGUUCCUAGAUGAUUGGAAUACAUACUGUUCACAUAGAGGACGUAUUUUUUAAAAAUAUUCUUUUUAUUUUUCAGUUUUCUUCUGUUUGGCAAUUAUUACAAAUAAAACAAUACAUCCGACAUGUCCCAG